This is a small nuclear RNA of Trichechus manatus latirostris (Florida manatee), 191 nucleotides long. RefSeq annotates it as U2 spliceosomal RNA. NCBI's taxonomy places the organism in Eukaryota, Metazoa, Chordata, Mammalia, Sirenia, Trichechidae. The transcript has a single exon. The record is from RefSeq and is a predicted model, not a curated record.
AUUGCUUCUCGGCCUUUUGGCUAAGAUCAAGCGUAGUAUUUGUUUUUAUCAGUUUAAUAUCUGAUACGUCCUCUAUCCGAGGACAAUAUAUUAAAUGGAUUUUUGGAGCCGGGAGAUGGAAUAGAAGCUUGCUCUGUCCACUCCACGCAUCGACCUGGUAUUGCAGUACCUCCAGGAACGGUGCACCCCUC